This 719-nucleotide ribosomal RNA is filed under the name uncultured bacterium. Its description in RNAcentral is "bacterial SSU rRNA". It matches the Rfam family "Bacterial small subunit ribosomal RNA", at positions 223 to 945 of the family's 1533-position model. The record is from RNAcentral.
AGAUGAUCAUGCGUCACAUUAGAUUGUUGGUAAGGUAACGGCUUACCAAGGCUACGAUGGGUAGGGGUCCUGAGAGGGAGAUCCCCCACACUGGUACUGAGACACGGACCAGACUCCUACGGGAGGCAGCAGUGAGGAAUAUUGGUCAAUGGGCGCAAGCCUGAACCAGCCAUGCCGCGUGCAGGAUGACGGUCCUAUGGAUUGUAAACUGCUUUUAUACAGGAAGAAACACUCGGACGUGUCCGAGCUUGACGGUACUGUAGGAAUAAGGAUCGGCUAACUCCGUGCCAGCAGCCGCGGUAAUACGGAGGAUCCAAGCGUUAUCCGGAAUCAUUGGGUUUAAAGGGUCCGUAGGCGGCUUAAUAAGUCAGUGGUGAAAGCCCUACGCUUAACGUAGGAACGGCCAUUGAUACUGUUAGGCUUGAAUUAUUAGGAAGUAACUAGAAUAUGUAGUGUAGCGGUGAAAUGCUUAGAGAUUACAUGGAAUACCAAUUGCGAAGGCAGGUUACUACUAAUGGAUUGACGCUGAUGGACGAAAGCGUGGGUAGCGAACAGGAUUAGAUACCCUGGUAGUCCACGCCGUAAACGAUGGAUACUAGCUGUUGGGAGCAAUCUCAGUGGCUAAGCGAAAGUGAUAAGUAUCCCACCUGGGGAGUACGUUCGCAAGUAUGAAACUCAAAGGAAUGACGGGGGCCCGCACAAGCGGUGGNGCAUGUGGU